Non-coding RNA from Camelina sativa (false flax), 973 nucleotides. The record is from RefSeq and is a predicted model, not a curated record. Lineage: Eukaryota; Viridiplantae; Streptophyta; Magnoliopsida; Brassicales; Brassicaceae.
UCUCGUCCUCUCUCUUUCGUCUGUCUUUUUUUUUUUGUUAAAUUAAUUGUGACCUCAAAGAAAAAAUUUAAAACAGAGGAUAGUCUCUCUUUCGUCUCUCAGAUUGAUCGAUGGCAAAAGCUUUGGAGAAGAAGCGAAGAAUUGAGAGGUGAAAUAAUCGAAAAAGCUGGGUUGGUUCAGGCUCAAGUUGAUCAGACCAAAGACAAUCUUGUUUCUGACAUACUGAUUGAUUAUUUUGGUUCUCACUUGUUGUCGAAGUCUGAGAUUGUUAGGUUGGCUAGUCUUUUUGUUUCCGUUGAAAGUAUGAACAAUACUUGAUUGCAGCAGAACAAUACUUGAUGCUUGAAAGUAUGUUAAUAUAAUCCCUCUCUCAUUUUUUCCAUUUGAUUGCAACAGAACAAUACUUGAUGCUAAAAAGUGUUUUUUGUAUCGUUCUUGGUCUUGAGAGGUAAGGUACAAUUUUCUCAAAAUGUUUGGCCUUUUUUGAGAUUAGUCAAUUUUUCCUUGAGCAACAGGUCAAGGCCUAUCCAAGUAUAAAACAUAUGCAAGAUCACCCUACUGAAACAGCUAAGAACUUUAUGAUUGAUGGGCAUUGCGGUUCUGUUUCUUUCCUCUGUUUUUGGUUGUGUUUGAGACAUCAAAUCUACAUGAUGUGAAUAGGCUCAAUUCUCCCAAGUGAGGCCAGUUGCAAUGCCGCCAUCUGUUGGUUCCUGCAUGCCAAUGUAUCCUCGGGUGGUCCUGGUAUUGGACAACAAAUGUUCUAUGGUCAGGCCCCUCCUAACAUGAUUCCUUCCCAAGUAAUUCACAAUGUUUGCUCUACUUUAAGUAGCUGUGUUCAAUUUUGCGCAAAGAUAUUUGGUUUAUGGGUCUUUAAAGUAAUGUAGUGGUCACAGCUCACCAUAUAUGUAGCUACUCGUCCAUAAACUAAUGAAGAUCUUUGAUGCUGCGGGGAAUUCAUUUGAGCUCUCUAUGA